Molecule: long non-coding RNA, 1129 nt
Organism: Pyrus x bretschneideri (Chinese white pear)
Lineage: Eukaryota; Viridiplantae; Streptophyta; Magnoliopsida; Rosales; Rosaceae
Exons: 4
Source: RefSeq, a predicted model, not a curated record
AUGGGGGACAUGUUGUUAACUGCUGGAAACUAUUUUUAUAACUCUUCUAACUCUUGUACUAGUAAAGUCUUAAUGUCUCUAAAAUGGACAGGUGACCAUCGGAUUUCCUUAGCAAAUAUAAUCUUGGAUUUAUCCAGAUACAACAACUUGGAUUAGAAGCCCAAAUAAAGCUCAAAAAGGGUGAAUGGGCUUUGGAUGUUGUUCUGGAGAAAUCUGUUGUCAAGCAAAGCGGUGAUGCAUGGAGAAUUAUUCUCGAUUCUUGCCUCCCUGUGCUUCACCUAAUUGGCACUAGGCGUUCCAUCCCGUGUGCUAACAAACAGAUUCAAGAAACUAUUGGGAGUGUCUUGUGCUUUUGGUCAAGCAGUUCAGGAGCAGCUUAUCCUCCUGGCAAAUAGCAUGACGUGCUGGAAAUUUUGUCGGCUUAAUUCUAGUGGAUAUAAAGCACUAUCUCGAGCAUUGAAUAUUUAAGUAGCAUUUACAGAAGCAACAUGUUUUGUGAGUAAUUGAAUUCUUUUGCCUAAUUCUGUGAGUGGCAUGUACCUUUAGUUCGUGGUUAGAUUAACUACAGUCACAACUAAUUGUAGUUUCAUUACACCAUGAAAGGUGCUGAAAAGUGCCACAUGGACAUGGAUUCUUUGUCAAGCAUAGUUGCAUCCUGUUCAUGAGGUAAACAUGUUGCUGUUGGUAGUGGAUCCAGGUUUGAUAUCCUGUGGGACACGAGAGAGGGAGGAUUGAAUCAAGAGGGUGGACUCGAUGUUUUCAACUUUCUGCAUAUGGUGAGCACAAAAUUGAUGUUUCGGAAGCUCACAUUAGUCCUCUGAUGGACUCCCUACACCUCCACAAAAACCCACUUUCUUAGCAUUCAUAUGAGAUUCAAAAGGGAGAAACCGAAAACGGUGGAUUGCAGUUUGGGUAACAAAAGACCUGGAAGCAGAUGCAAAUUGAUACAACCAGAGGACUGCAUUGCCUUGAUCAACAUUUGUAUGGUGGAUCCAUGAUUGGUUGUAAAUUGGUAAAACCAAGCCGUGUAAAUGGAAAUUUAUUGAACACCCCCAGUAUUUAGUAAAUCAAAAAAUGAUUAGUGAAAUUUUGUAGACAUUGUCAUUCAUCGUAAAGAAGAAAAGAUAAG